UGCAGGAGCUACACGUGGGCAUAAGG
RNAcentral lists this non-coding RNA (26 nucleotides) under Mus musculus (house mouse). The record is from RNAcentral. Lineage: Eukaryota; Metazoa; Chordata; Mammalia; Rodentia; Muridae.